Non-coding RNA from Heligmosomoides polygyrus, 71 nucleotides. NCBI's taxonomy places the organism in Eukaryota, Metazoa, Nematoda, Chromadorea, Rhabditida, Heligmosomidae. The record is from Rfam.
GCGCCGGUGGUGUAAGGCGAACAUCGCUGCCCGGAAAGGAGAAGAUGCGGGUUCGAGUCCCGCCUUGCGCA